UGCAGUCGAGCGGUAACAUUUCUAGCUUGCUAGAAGAUGACGAGCGGCGGACGGGUGAGUAACGCGUAGAAAUCUGCCUAGUAGUGGGGGAUAGCCCAGAGAAAUUUGGAUUAAUACCGCAUACGCCCUACGGGGGAAAGGAAGGGACCUUCGGGCCUUUCGCUAUUAGAUGAGUCUGCGUCGGAUUAGCUUGUUGGUGAGGUAAUGGCUCACCAAGGCGACGAUCCGUAGCUGGUCUGAGAGGAUGAUCAGCCACACUGGAACUGAGACACGGUCCAGACUCCUACGGGAGGCAGCAGUGGGGAAUAUUGCACAAUGGGCGCAAGCCUGAUGCAGCCAUGCCGCGUGUGUGAAGAAGGCCUUAGGGUUGUAAAGCACUUUCAGCAGUGAGGAAAGGUGUGUCGUUAAUAGCGGCAUACUGUGACGUUAACUGCAGAAGAAGGACCGGCUAACUCCGUGCCAGCAGCCGCGGUAAUACGGAGGGUCCGAGCGUUAAUCGGAAUUACUGGGCGUAAAGCGCGCGUAGGCGGUUUGUUAAGUCAGAUGUGAAAGCCCCGGGCUCAACCUGGGAACUGCACCUGAUACUGGCAAACUAGAGUACAGAA
RNAcentral lists this ribosomal RNA (605 nucleotides) under uncultured bacterium. RNAcentral's name for it is "bacterial SSU rRNA". It matches the Rfam family "Bacterial small subunit ribosomal RNA", at positions 56 to 653 of the family's 1533-position model. The record is from RNAcentral.